RNAcentral lists this ribosomal RNA (710 nucleotides) under uncultured bacterium. RNAcentral's name for it is "bacterial SSU rRNA". It matches the Rfam family "Bacterial small subunit ribosomal RNA", at positions 688 to 1398 of the family's 1533-position model. The record is from RNAcentral.
GCGUAGAUAUAUGGANGAACACCAGUGGCGAAAGCGGCUCUNUGGUCUGUCACUGACGCUGAGGCUCGAAAGCGUGGGUAGCGAACAGGAUUAGAUACCCUGGUAGUCCACGCCGUAAACGAUGAGUGCUAGGUGUUAGGCCCUUUCCGGGGCUUAGUGCCGGAGCUAACGCAAUAAGCACUCCGCCUGGGGAGUACGACCGCAAGGUUGAAACUCAAAGGAAUAGACGGGGGCCCGCACAAGCGGUGGAGCAUGUGGUUUAAUUCGAAGCAACGCGAAGAACCUUACCAGGUCUUGACAUCCCGAUGCUAUUCUUAGAGAUAGGAAGUUACUUCGGUACAUCGGAGACAGGUGGUGCAUGGUUGUCGUCAGCUCGUGUCGUGAGAUGUUGGGUUAAGUCCCGCAACGAGCGCAACCCUUAUUGUUAGUUGCCAUCAUUAAGUUGGGCACUCUAGCGAGACUGCCGGUAAUAAACCGGAGGAAGGUGGGGAUGACGUCAAAUCAUCAUGCCCCUUAUGACCUGGGCUACACACGUGCUACAAUGGUCGGUACAACGAGUUGCGAGCCGGUGACGGCAAGCUAAUCUCUGAAAGCCGAUCUCAGUUCGGAUUGGAGGCUGCAACUCGCCUCCAUGAAGUCGGAAUCGCUAGUAAUCGCGGAUCAGCACGCCGCGGUGAAUACGUUCCCGGGCCUUGUACACACCGCCCGUC